Gadus macrocephalus (Pacific cod) is the source of this 1436-nucleotide long non-coding RNA. RefSeq lists it as uncharacterized. NCBI's taxonomy places the organism in Eukaryota, Metazoa, Chordata, Actinopteri, Gadiformes, Gadidae. The record is from RefSeq and is a predicted model, not a curated record. The transcript has 4 exons.
GCUGAUAGGAGAGGGCUAUGGACGUGCAGAACAGUAAACGGGGACGACCAUGGCCCACCGCGGACCCGCGGGCUUGGACAUAGAGGCGGCCGGUGCGACAGCAGCGCAAGGAACAGUUGCCACCACGCAGGAGAAUCCGCGGGUGAAUGUUGGCGGUUGGUCUCGAGCGGGGCGCGCGCCCUGGAUGCUCGUGCGAUUCGCUGGUCUCGAGACGUCCUGCAUGACAAUCAACACUUCUGCACCCCUGGUGAAAGAAAUAUCCAUAUCAAUCUAAGCAACCGUGGAAAUUGCUCCCUGACCAGCACAUCAUGGUGUAUCCACACUGGCAGGUGUGUGUUUGUGAAUCAGUGUGAGCUUGCGUGUGUCUGUGUGUGUGUGUGUGUAUGUGUGUGUGUGUGUGUGUGUGUGUGUGUGUGUGUGUGUGUGUGUGUGUGUGUGUGUGUGUGUGUGUGUGUGUGUGUGUGUGUGUGUGUCGCUGGAAGACCGAGGACUGCGUGACCAAGGCCUGAGGGGUUGUCUGUUAUCUUUGGUUAUCUAGCUGUAUGAGUGGCAUACAUUCUUCAUAAAGCUAGAUAACCGAAAGUAACAAGAAUCCCAUUACACGCUCGCCAGGCCCCCCCUGCCCCCACCAUCGCAACCGCCACCACCAGUGAAAACACAAAAACCAGAGACGCAAAAACUUCAAGAACUGUACUGAACCACAGAGAAGGAUUUCACUCUGACGCCACAGAAAAAAGAUCCAAGGAGCCAUCAUCUGGCGGCUGGCUCCUCUGUGGACUCCAAGAGAAGCAACGCAACCUUCGGUUGUAGGACGAUUGGGCCCAGACUCUCUCCUCAGCCCGAAAGCUAGUGGAGGGAACAAAAAAAGGUUGGAUCCUUCCGGAACAACGAAGCUGCAAACAAUGUAACAACGACGGACGGCGCUGUGAUUCUGAUCCACCCGGAGCGACAAAAUGGGAAGGGAGUGUGGAGGAGGGAACCAUACGCUGAGGGACACACCAGGGACUGGAGGGGUGCCAGAAUCUAUUUCUACAUAAACUGAGAGAAAGUUGGACUAUCAUGAAGAUAAUCUGGGACUAAACUCACCCAAGGGGAGUGUGUGUGUCUGUAUGUGUGUGUGUGAGAGAGAGAGAGUGAGAGAGAGAGAGAGAGAGAGAGAGAGAGAGAGAGAGAGAGAGAGAGAGAGAGAGAGAGAGAGAGAGAGAGAGAGAGAGAGAGAGAGAGGAAGGAAUGUAUAUAUUUGUGCGUGUGUGUGAGUGUGUGUGUGUGUGAGUGUGAGUGUGAGUGUGUGUGUGUGUGUGUGUGUGUGUGUGUGUGUGCGUAUGUGGAACACUGUGUUCUCAGGAACCAUUUUGCACAGCUGUUCGUUAUAUAUCUGUACUAUGUAGGUCAGAGCUUAGACAGGACACACACACACACACAUACACACACACAAA